ACUCCUACGGGAGGCAGCAGUGAGGAAUAUUGGUCAAUGGGCGCAAGCCUGAACCAGCCAUCCCGCGUGCAGGAAGACGGCCCUAUGGGUUGUAAACUGCUUUUCCAGGGGGAGAAUUUUUCUGUCGUGACAGGAAUUGACGGUACCCUGGGAAUAAGCAUCGGCUAACUCCGUGCCAGCAGCCGCGGUAAUACGGAGGAUGCAAGCGUUAUCCGGAUUCAUUGGGUUUAAAGGGUGCGUAGGCGGAAUAGCAAGUCAGCGGUGAAAGCCUGUGGCUUAACCAUAGAAAUGCCGUUGAUACUGUUAUUCUUGAGUGUAGUUGAAGUGGGCGGAAUGUGUAAUGUAGCGGUGAAAUGCUUAGAUAUUACACAGAACACCAAUUGCGAAGGCAGCUCACUAAGCUAAUACUGACGCUGAGGCACGAAAGCGUGGGGAGCAAACAGGAUUAGAUACCCUGGUAGUC
This 463-nucleotide ribosomal RNA is filed under the name uncultured bacterium. Its description in RNAcentral is "bacterial SSU rRNA". It matches the Rfam family "Bacterial small subunit ribosomal RNA", at positions 335 to 795 of the family's 1533-position model. The record is from RNAcentral.